GCUUGCACUCACCGAUAAAGAGUUGAGUGGCGAACGGGUGAGUAACACGUGGGCAACCUGCCCAAAAGAGGGGGAUAACACUUGGAAACAGGUGCUAAUACCGCAUAACCAUAGUUACCGCAUGGUAACUAUGUAAAAGGUGGCUAUGCUACCGCUUUUGGAUGGGCCCGCGGCGCAUUAGCUAGUUGGUGGGGUAAAGGCUUACCAAGGCAAUGAUGCGUAGCCGAACUGAGAGGUUGAUCGGCCACAUUGGGACUGAGACACGGCCCAAACUCCUACGGGAGGCAGCAGUAGGGAAUCUUCCACAAUGGGCGAAAGCCUGAUGGAGCAACGCCGCGUGGGUGAAGAAGGUCUUCGGAUCGUAAAACCCUGUUGUUAGAGAAGAAAGUGCGUGAGAGUAACUGUUCACGUUUCGACGGUAUCUAACCAGAAAGCCACGGCUAACUACGUGCCAGCAGCCGCGGUAAUACGUAGGUGGCAAGCGUUAUCCGGAUUUAUUGGGCGUAAAGGGAACGCAGGCGGUCUUUUAAGUCUGAUGUGAAAGCCUUCGGCUUAACCGGAGUAGUGCAUUGGAAACUGGGAGACUUGAGUGCAGAAGAGGAGAGUGGAACUCCAUGUGUAGCGGUGAAAUGCGCAGAUAUAUGGAAGAACACCAGUGGCGAAAGCGGCUCUCUGGUCUGUAACUGACGCCGAGGUUCGAAAGCGUGGGUAGCAAACAGGAUUAGAUACCCUGGUAGUCCACGCCGUAAACGAUGAAUGCUAAGUGUUGGAGGGUUUCCGCCCUUCAGUGCUGCAGCUAACG
Molecule: ribosomal RNA, 802 nt
Filed under: uncultured bacterium
Lineage: Bacteria
Description: bacterial SSU rRNA
Rfam family: Bacterial small subunit ribosomal RNA
Source: RNAcentral